AAUUUUCGGCAAUGGGGGCAACCCUGACCGAGCGACGCCGCGUGAGUGAUGAAGGUCUUCGGAUUGUAAAGCUCUGUUGGAAGGGAAGAACCGUACCAGUAUGGUAUGACUGGUACCUGACGGUACCUGCCCAGCAAGCCACGGCUAACUACGUGCCAGCAGCCGCGGUAAUACGUAGGUGGCAAGCGUUAUCCGGAAUUAUUGGGCGUAAAGGGAGCGCAGGCGGCUUAUUAAGUCUGAGGUUAAAGUUCGGGGCUCAACCCCGUGAUGCCUUAGAAACUGGUAGGCUAGAGUGCAGGAGAGGUGAGUGGAAUUCCAUGUGUAGCGGUAAAAUGCGUAGAUAUAUGGAGGAACACCAGUGGCGAAGGCGGCUCACUGGCAUGUAACUGACGCUGAGGCUCGAAAGCGUGGGGAGCAAAUA
RNAcentral lists this ribosomal RNA (421 nucleotides) under uncultured bacterium. Its description in RNAcentral is "partial 16S ribosomal RNA". It matches the Rfam family "Bacterial small subunit ribosomal RNA", at positions 360 to 774 of the family's 1533-position model. The record is from RNAcentral.